UUCCAGACUCCUACGGGAGGCAGCAGUGGGGAAUAUUGCACAAUGGGGGAAGCCCUGAUGCAGCGACGCCGCGUGAGUGAAGAAGUAUUUCGGUAUGUAAAGCUCUAUCAGCAGGAAAGAAAAUGACGGUACCUGACUAAGAAGCCCCGGCUAACUACGUGCCAGCAGCCGCGGUAAUACGUAGGGGGCAAGCGUUAUCCGGAUUUACUGGGUGUAAAGGGGGCGCAGACGGCAGCGCAAGCCAGGAGUGAAAGCCCGGGGCCCAACCCCGGGACUGCUCUUGGAACUGCGCGGCUGGAGUGCAGGAGGGGCAGGCGGAAUUCCUGGUGUAGCGGUGAAAUGCGUAGAUAUCAGGAGGAACACCGGUGGCGAAGGCGGCCUGCUGGACUGCGACUGACGUUGAGGCCCGAAAGCGUGGGGAGCAAACAGGAUUAGAUACCCCGGUA
This 446-nucleotide ribosomal RNA is filed under the name uncultured bacterium. RNAcentral's name for it is "partial 16S ribosomal RNA". It matches the Rfam family "Bacterial small subunit ribosomal RNA", at positions 329 to 792 of the family's 1533-position model. The record is from RNAcentral.